UAUUAAUGAUGGGGAUAAUUUUUGAGUAGAAACUUGAAUCUCUCUCAUGCAUGAAAAAGAUUAUCAUCUAGAUUUUGUUUGAAACUCGGGAUCUCACUCCUCAAUCU
Molecule: non-coding RNA, 107 nt
Organism: Capsicum annuum
Lineage: Eukaryota; Viridiplantae; Streptophyta; Magnoliopsida; Solanales; Solanaceae
Source: Rfam